Long non-coding RNA from Cervus elaphus (red deer), 1137 nucleotides. RefSeq lists it as uncharacterized. NCBI's taxonomy places the organism in Eukaryota, Metazoa, Chordata, Mammalia, Artiodactyla, Cervidae. The record is from RefSeq and is a predicted model, not a curated record. The transcript is spliced from 3 exons.
GUCCGGCAGCCUUCUCUGGAACUUGGAAUGUGGCUGGCGGCCGCGAGCUUAACCUCCGACGGUCGUAGGGUGCGUGCGUCGCAACAAGCGCAGAACUUCACACUUCUUAGGAGCGGACAGACGCUUUCCGAGUGGCUCAGCACAGGAAAGGAAAGAUGACGGUGAAGACUGAGCAUGACGGACUCUGCACACAUUCACUCUUCAGGCUGCGUUCCGCCUCUCAGGUGGUCAGGAAGGGUCUGUCUGAAGAAUCAACACUGAAGCUGAGGCCCCCCUCACAAAUUCCUUCCACAUGAUAAUAAUCUAUUUGCAAGCGUGGUCCCCACAGGAGGUUGAAACAGUAUAGUGUCCUGGAAAAAAAAAAAUCGCAGUGUUUGGAAUAAGCGACGCCCGGGUUCUCCUCCCAGCCCUGUUCCUUCUCAACUUCCUGCCGAAUGGAAACAGCCACCCCCAGAACGCGGGAGUGAGAACGCGUGAGACUCGGCUCGUGAGGCCCCGUAACAGCUGGGCCCACUUGCCCAGAGUUCUUGCCCCAGAGACACAGAGAGAAGUCUCGUCCUGAGCUCCCGCCCCCUGGCCUGCUUCCACGGCCUGUGGCCUGGAGGACCGUCCCCCUCCUCUUAUCUCAUCUUGAUAGUCUGUGCCUCACGUCCUCCUCACCCUCCACCAUGCCCCUCUGUCCGGAAGGUCCUACCCCCUCACCACCCCAGUUAAGGGCGGUGGGUCUCGGGAAGUUCCUGGCAGUCCAGUGAUUAAACGAGGUACUCACUGUGGUGGCCCAGUUUCAAUCCUUGGUCAGGGAACUAAGAUCCUGCAAGCUGUGCGGAGCAGCCAAAAAAAAAAACCAAAAAUAGUGAAUCUGUUGUCUCCCCUUCGUCCUCUCACUCUUAACUUCCAAGAGUCCCUAAAACUUCAACAACUUUCACUCCUUCUCCCUCAUGCUGUCCUUGGGAAUAUCAUCCAUUCAUAGGGCUUCAAGAUGUACACCCUCAUGGGCAACUCCCAGAUAUUCAUCACCAACCCCAGUCUGACUGCUCACCUGGUUGCCUGCUCAGCUCACAACCAUCUCUGGAAACAGCCCCAGUACGCCAGAACAUCCUAUAGCAAGCCGGUCUCAACUAUGUGAUACUGCCAACU